Molecule: ribosomal RNA, 465 nt
Filed under: Vreelandella stevensii
Lineage: Bacteria; Pseudomonadati; Pseudomonadota; Gammaproteobacteria; Oceanospirillales; Halomonadaceae
Description: partial 16S ribosomal RNA
Rfam family: Bacterial small subunit ribosomal RNA
Source: RNAcentral
CCUACGGGUGGCUGCAGUGGGGAAUAUUGGACAAUGGGGGCAACCCUGAUCCAGCCAUGCCGCGUGUGUGAAGAAGGCCCUCGGGUUGUAAAGCACUUUCAGUGAGGAAGAACGCCUGGUGGUUAAUACCCAUCAGGAAAGACAUCACUCACAGAAGAAGCACCGGCUAACUCCGUGUCAGCGGCCGCGGUAAUACGGAGGGUGCGAGCGUUAAUCGGAAUUACUGGGCGUAAAGCGCGCGUAGGUGGCUUGAUAAGCCGGUUGUGAAAGCCCCGGGCUCAACCUGGGAACGGCAUCCGGAACUGUCAAGCUAGAGUGCAGGAGAGGAAGGUAGAAUUCCCGGUGUAGCGGUGAAAUGCGUAGAGAUCGGGAGGAAUACCAGUGGCGAAGGCGGCCUUCUGGACUGACACUGACACUGAGGUGCGAAAGCGUGGGUAGCAAACAGGAUUAGAUACCCUAGUAGUC